This 495-nucleotide ribosomal RNA is filed under the name uncultured bacterium. RNAcentral describes it as "partial 16S ribosomal RNA". It matches the Rfam family "Bacterial small subunit ribosomal RNA", at positions 28 to 523 of the family's 1533-position model. The record is from RNAcentral.
GAUGAACGCUGGCGGCGUACUUAACACAUGCAAGUCGAACGAAGCAAUUUAGCGGAAGUUUUCGGAUGGAAGCUGGAUUGACUGAGUGGCGGACGGGUGAGUAACGCGUGGGUAACCUGCCUCACACUGGGGGACAACAGUUAGAAAUGACUGCUAAUACGGCAUAAGCGCACAGGACCGCAUGGUCCGGCGUGAAAAACUCCGGUGGUGUGAGAUGGACCCGCGUUUGAUUAGCAAGUUGGUGGGGUAACGGCCAACCAAGGCGACGAUCAAUAGCCGACCUGAGAGGGUGACCGGCCACAUUGGGACUGAGACACGGCCCAAACUCCUACGGGAGGCAGCAGUGGGGAAUAUUGCACAAUGGGGGAAACCCUGAUGCAGCGACGCCGCGUGAGUGAAGAAGUAUUUCGGUAUGUAAAGCUCUAUCAGCAGGGAAGAAAAUGACGGUACCUGACUAAGAAGCACCGGCUAAAUACGUGCCAGCCGCCGCUGUAA